UGCCUUAGUAACGGCGAGUGAAGCGGCAAUAGCUCAAAUUUGAAAGCUGGCCCCUUCGGGGUCCGCGUUGUAAUUUGUAGAGGAUGAUUCGGCGAGGGCUCCCGUCUAAGUCCCUUGGAACAGGGCGUCAUAGAGGGUGAGAAUCCCGUAUGUGAUGGGCUGCCUUAGCCAUGUGAAUCUCCUUCGACGAGUCGAGUUGUUUGGGAAUGCAGCUCUAAAUGGGAGGUAAAUUUCUUCUAAAGCUAAAUACCGGCCAGAGACCGAUAGCGCACAAGUAGAGUGAUCGAAAGAUGAAAAGCACUUUGGAAAGAGAGUUAAAAAGUACGUGAAAUUGUUGAAAGGGAAGCGCUUGCAGCCAGACUUGUCCGCAGUUGCUCAGCUUGUCUCCUGACAGGCGUACUCUUCUGCGGCCAGGCCAGCAUCAGUUCGGGCGGUCGGAUAAAGACCUGGGGAAUGUAGCUCCUCUCGGGGAGUGUUAUAGCCCUGGGUGCAAUGCGGCCAGCCUGGACUGAGGAUCUCGCUUCGGCUAGGAUGCUGGCGUAAUGGCUGUAAGCGGCCCGUCUUGAAACACGGACCAAGGAGUCUAACAUCUAUGCGAGUGUUUGGGUGUCAAACCCAUGCGCGUAAUGAAAGUGAACGGAGGUGGGAACCCUCACGGGUGCACCAUCGACCGAUCCUGAUGUCUUCGGAUGGAUUUGAGUAAGAGCAUAGCUGUUGGGACCCGAAAGAUGGUGAACUAUGCCUGAAUAGGGUGAAGCCAGAGGAAACUCUGG
This 773-nucleotide ribosomal RNA is filed under the name Neofusicoccum sp. 4 JZG-2016. RNAcentral's name for it is "eukaryotic LSU rRNA". It matches the Rfam family "Eukaryotic large subunit ribosomal RNA", at positions 76 to 867 of the family's 3401-position model. The record is from RNAcentral. Lineage: Eukaryota; Fungi; Ascomycota; Dothideomycetes; Botryosphaeriales; Botryosphaeriaceae.